This 584-nucleotide ribosomal RNA is filed under the name uncultured bacterium. RNAcentral describes it as "bacterial SSU rRNA". It matches the Rfam family "Bacterial small subunit ribosomal RNA", at positions 102 to 672 of the family's 1533-position model. The record is from RNAcentral.
ACGGGGUAGGAUCACCUCGGUGACGUACCCCCCGAACGGGGAUAGCGGCGGGAAACUGCCGGUAAUACCCGAUAAUCUUCCCAAGUCUUACGGCAGGGGAAGCAAAGGUGUGAUUCCGUCGGGGGAGCGGCUGAGGUCGUAUUAGCUAGUUGGUAAGGUAACGGCUUACCAAGGCGAUGAUGCGUAGGGGGUGUGAGAGCAUGGCCCCCACCACUGGCACUGAGACACUGGCCAGACACCUACGGGUGGCUGCAGUCGAGAAUCUUCGGCAAUGGGCGCAAGCCUGACCGAGCGACGCCGCGUGCGGGAUGAAGGUCUUCGGAUUGUAAACCGCUGUCGGAGGGGAUGAAGUGCCGUCAAGUAAUACAUAAUCUUGGCGGUUUGACAGAGCCUCGGAGGAAGCACGGGCUAAGUUCGUGCCAGCAGCCGCGGUAAUACGAACUGUGCGAACGUUAUUCGGAAUCACUGGGCUUAAAGGGUGCGUAGGCGGCGGCACAAGUCAGGUGUGAAAUCCCCCGGCUCAACCGGGGAACAGCGCUUGAAACUAGGUCGCUCGAGUGAGGUAGGGGUGCAUGGAACUUCCG